UACGGAGGAUGCAAGCGUUAUCCGGAAUGAUUGGGCGUAAAGGGUCCGCAGGUGGCAGUGUAAGUCUGCUGUCAAAGAAUGAGGCUUAACCUCAUCAAGGCAGUGGAAACUACACAGCUAGAGUACGGUCGGGGUAGAAGGAAUUCCUGGUGUAGCGGUGAAAUGCGUAGAGAGCAGGAAGAACACCGGUGGCGAAAGCGUUCUGCUAGACCUGUACUGACACUGAGGGACGAAAGCUAGGGGAGCGAAUGGG
Molecule: ribosomal RNA, 253 nt
Filed under: uncultured bacterium
Lineage: Bacteria
Description: partial 16S ribosomal RNA
Rfam family: Bacterial small subunit ribosomal RNA
Source: RNAcentral